RNAcentral lists this ribosomal RNA (453 nucleotides) under Priestia endophytica. RNAcentral's name for it is "bacterial SSU rRNA". It matches the Rfam family "Bacterial small subunit ribosomal RNA", at positions 20 to 460 of the family's 1533-position model. Lineage: Bacteria; Bacillati; Bacillota; Bacilli; Caryophanales; Bacillaceae. The record is from RNAcentral.
UGGUUCAGGACGAACGCUGGCGGCGUGCCUAAUACAUGCAAGUCGAGCGGAGAUUUGAAAAGCUUGCUUUUCAAAUCUUAGCGGCGGACGGGUGAGUAACACGUGGGCAACCUGCCCUUGAGACGGGGAUAACUCCGGGAAACCGGAGCUAAUACCGGAUAACACAUAUCUUCGCAUGAAGAUAUGUUAGAAGGUGGCUUUUAGCUACCACUCAAGGAUGGGCCCGCGGCGCAUUAGCUAGUUGGUGAGGUAACGGCUCACCAAGGCGACGAUGCGUAGCCGACCUGAGAGGGUGAUCGGCCACACUGGGACUGAGACACGGCCCAGACUCCUACGGGAGGCAGCAGUAGGGAAUCUUCCGCAAUGGACGAAAGUCUGACGGAGCAACGCCGCGUGAGUGAUGAAGGUUUUCGGAUCGUAAAGCUCUGUUGUUAGGGAAGAACAAGUACCUGU